UCGAUUAGUUUGAUCAUGGCUCAGGACGAACGCUGGCGGCACGCUUAACACAUGCAAGUCGAACGUGAAGCUCGGAGCUUGCUCCGGGUGGAAAGUGGCGAACGGGUGAGUAACACGUGAGGAACCUGCCCCGAAGACUGGGAUAACACCGGGAAACCGGUGCUAAUACUGGAUGCCUUCUCCGGAUCGCAUGAUCUGGCGAAGAAAUGGAUUCCGCUUCGGGAUGGCCUCGCGGCCUAUCAGCUUGUUGGUGGGGUAACGGCCUACCAAGGCAACGACGGGUAGCUGGUCUGAGAGGAUGUCCAGCCACACUGGGACUGAGACACGGCCCAGACUCCUACGGGAGGCAGCAGUGGGGAAUCUUGCGCAAUGGGCGAAAGCCUGACGCAGCGAUGCCGCGUGCGGGAUGAGGGCCUUCGGGUUGUAAACCGCUUUCAGCAGGGACGAAAUUGACGGUACCUGCAGAAGAAGCCCCGGCCAACUACGUGCCAGCAGCCGCGGUAAUACGUAGGGGGCGAGCGUUGUCCGGAUUUAUUGGGCGUAAAGAGCUCGUAGGCGGUUUGGUAAGUUGGAUGUGAAAUCUCCAGGCUCAACUUGGAGGGGUCAUUCGAUACUGCCAUGACUAGAGUUCGGUAGGGGAGUGUGGAAUUCCUGGUGGAGCGGUGAAAUGCGCAGAUAUCAGGAGGAACACCCGUAGCGAAGGCGGCACUCUGGGCCGGAACUGACGCUGAGGAGCGAAAGCGUGGGGAGCGAACAGGAUUAGAUACCCUGGUAGUCCACGCCGUAAACGUUGGGCACUAGGUGUGGGGUUC
RNAcentral lists this ribosomal RNA (812 nucleotides) under uncultured bacterium. RNAcentral describes it as "bacterial SSU rRNA". It matches the Rfam family "Bacterial small subunit ribosomal RNA", at positions 1 to 830 of the family's 1533-position model. The record is from RNAcentral.